Molecule: ribosomal RNA, 505 nt
Filed under: uncultured bacterium
Lineage: Bacteria
Description: partial 16S ribosomal RNA
Rfam family: Bacterial small subunit ribosomal RNA
Source: RNAcentral
AACGAACGCUGGCGGCGCGUCUUAAGCAUGCAAGUCGAACGGUAACACGGGGCAGCCUGGUGACGAGUGGCGAACGGGUGAGUAACGCGUAGGUGAUCUGCCUUUUGGUUGGGGAUAUACCGUGGAAACACGGGGUAAUACCGAAUAAGUUCCUCUGGUUUGGACUGGGGGAGGAAAGGGGCUACGGCCUCGCCGAAAGAUGAGCCUGCGUUUGAUUAGCUAGUUGGUGAGGUAAAAGCUCACCAAGGCGACGAUCAAUAGCCGGCCUGAGAGGGUGGUCGGCCACACUGGGACUGAGAUACGGCCCAGACUCCUACGGGAGGCAGCAGCUAAGAAUCUUCCACAAUGGACGAAAGUCUGAUGGAGCGACGCCGCGUGGGUGAUGAAGGCGGAAACGUUGUAAAGCCCUUUUAUAGACGAGGAAUAAGAUCCGGAGGGAAUGCCGGGUCGAUGACGGUAGUCUGUGAAUAAGCCCCGGCUAAUUACGGGCCAGCAGCCGCCGUAA